This 301-nucleotide ribosomal RNA is filed under the name uncultured bacterium. Its description in RNAcentral is "partial 16S ribosomal RNA". It matches the Rfam family "Bacterial small subunit ribosomal RNA", at positions 509 to 807 of the family's 1533-position model. The record is from RNAcentral.
CAGUCGCCGCGGGAAUACGAAGGGGGCUAGCGUUGUUCGGAUUUACUGGGCGUAAAGCGCACGUAGGCGGAUCGAUCAGUCAGGUGUGAAAUCCCAGAGCUCAACUCUGGAACUGCCUUUGAUACUGUCGAUCUGGAGUAUGGAAGAGGUGAGUGGAAUUCCGAGUGUAGAGGUGAAAUUCGUAGAUAUUCGGAGGAACACCAGUGGCGAAGGCGGCCCACUGGUCCAUUACUGACGCUGAGGUGCGAAAGCGUGGGGAGCAAACAGGAUUAGAUACCCGAGUAGUCCCUGUCUCUUAUAC